Molecule: long non-coding RNA, 286 nt
Organism: Liolophura sinensis
Lineage: Eukaryota; Metazoa; Mollusca; Polyplacophora; Chitonida; Chitonidae
Exons: 4
Source: RefSeq, a predicted model, not a curated record
UAAGAAAUUACCUGGCAACAAACUGACAGUUAAUGAAUCUAAGUGAGACUGAACUUGAUUGGGUCGUACGACACUUGGGCCACACGAAACUGACCCAGAUGAACAACUAUAGGUUGUCGUCUUCGACAGUUGAAAGAACCAAAAUAGCCAAGCUGCUUGUCUUACUGGAGAAGGGCAUGCUGGGUAAAGCCCAGGGCAGUACACUGAGUGACCACAGUCUUGAUGAAAUUCCCACAACACAAAGUAACUCAGAAUCCAUGAAGAUGAGCCUUUAGAGGUGGAGAAG